This is a long non-coding RNA of Aedes aegypti (yellow fever mosquito), 128 nucleotides long. RefSeq lists it as uncharacterized. Lineage: Eukaryota; Metazoa; Arthropoda; Insecta; Diptera; Culicidae. The transcript is spliced from 2 exons. The record is from RefSeq and is a predicted model, not a curated record.
UUCACCUUAAAGCGGGCAACAUAGCCUAUUCCGUCUAAAUAUUGGCAAAAGUAGAGGUAAAAAUUUGCACUACGGGGUCCAGCACAGACAACGAAGCUGUCAUGCAGCUCCAGCUGAGUACACCAUAA